UGGGAAUUCUGGGAUUUAUUCCUGGGGUUUAUUUGUGGGAAUUCUGGGAUUUCUGGGAUUUAUUCCUGGGAUUAAUCUGUGGGAAUUCUGGGAUUUACGGGAUUUAUUCCUGGGGUUUAUUCAUGGGAAUUCCAGGAUUUCUGGGAUUUAUUCCUGGGAUUUCUUUGUGGGAAUUCUGGGAUUUACGGGAUUUAUUUAUGGGAUUUAUUCCUGGGGUUUAUUCCUGGGAAUUCCGGGAUUUCUGGGAUUUAUUCCUGGGAUUUAUUCCUGGGAUUUCUGGGAUUUAUUCCUGGGAUUUAUUUGUGGGAAUUCCAGGAUUUCUGGGAUUUAUUCCUGG
This 337-nucleotide long non-coding RNA is filed under the name Parus major (Great Tit). RNAcentral's name for it is "lncRNA (ENSPMJG00000003855.1)". The record is from RNAcentral. Lineage: Eukaryota; Metazoa; Chordata; Aves; Passeriformes; Paridae.